UAGGUGGAAGAGAAUCAUUAUUGUCAUGAAACGAUAAUAAUACGUUUCUGUUUAUAAUUGUCUCAGUCUCCCAGCGAGAGGUCUUGUUCAUCUGUUUUUGCGAGUGAAGAAUUCUGGUCUGGUCGAAUACUUGAUCGUAUCUAACUCGUGAAGCAAUGACGAGCAUAUUAGCUGUCUUUAAGAAUUCGUACUCUUCUUCUUUGGGAGGUAAAGAGUUCUGGUUUCUUGACGUCCUCUCGAUAAACAUAUCGAGACCUUGAGAAUCUGGUGUACUUAGUUUCUGUACACAUUCCAAGCUUGUUCGAGGGUCUUUUUCUUCGCCUUGUUCUAAGACCAUGUAUUGUUCAAAUUCGUUUUGAUGCAUCUGUUCGGUCAGCAAACUUUCUCGUGUUGUGCCAUCAUUCGACUUGACCCGAACUCGGGAGGUCGGGCUAUUAGAACUCGUCGUCGGUCUGCUAUGGUUUGAGAACGUUAUCGGUGAAUUAACACGGCCAGAUGAACUAAUUUCAUCGGUAACAGAGAUUCGAUUUGGCUGAGGUCAAAAUUGAAUCAAAUCUUAUGUUUCCUUUCUCGUUUAUGAUCUAGUAAGAUCGAUGCCAUCGUGAUGUGAUGGUUCGUUUGUUGCGGUAUUAGACACCAUAUGAGAUGGAUCCAUUUUCGUGCUUACAAGCCUUAGAUCGGGUUCCUAACAAGGACGUUUUUUGUUUUUCUUCCUCACAGUCGGCGCCAAAAUGUAGAUCCUAAAAUCUACACUAAGUAUUUGAUAAUGAUUAAAUGUUAAAUCUAGGGAAAAAAAUAAUGUGGGCAACGAUAUCCUCAGAACACAACGAUAUAAUCAGGUAUGAGUUGACAAAAUAUAAUAUAUUCGUAUGUCGAAUAGCAUAGGUAUUUCGGUUGAAGGAAGAUUGUGACUGAACUCGGGAUCGAGCUGCCUACGUACCCGUCAAGGGAUCAAGUCUAAACGUAGUUCGGUUAUAAUCAUCUCGAAUGAGAUGUCGGUUUCAUCGGUCCGGAGUGAGACCUCGGUUUCGCUGGUCUCGGGCUAGAUGUCUGCUUCGCGAUCUCUUGUCUUGAAUGCGAAGUAUUCGAUGUCUGGUUGACGAGUUCAAUUAACUCGAACUAUCUGCAUACGAUCUCAUUAGAUCAAUCUUGUCGUACAAAGAUAAGCUCGUGUCAUUAACGUGAUACGAGGGUUGCUUUCGUCAUAGUUUCUUGUCUUUAACAAACACAACAAUGUGUUUACUUU
Brassica napus (rape) is the source of this 1246-nucleotide long non-coding RNA. RefSeq lists it as uncharacterized. NCBI's taxonomy places the organism in Eukaryota, Viridiplantae, Streptophyta, Magnoliopsida, Brassicales, Brassicaceae. The record is from RefSeq and is a predicted model, not a curated record. The transcript is spliced from 2 exons.